Triticum aestivum (bread wheat) is the source of this 135-nucleotide non-coding RNA. Lineage: Eukaryota; Viridiplantae; Streptophyta; Magnoliopsida; Poales; Poaceae. The record is from Rfam.
UUAGUACUCCCUCCGUCCGAAAAUACUUGUCAUCAAAAUGGAUAAAAAGUGAUGUAUCUAGAAGUAAAAUAUGUCUAGAUACAUCUCCUUUUAUCCAUUUUGAUGACAAGUAUUUCCGGACGGAGGGAGUGUUAA